Coffea arabica (coffee) is the source of this 153-nucleotide non-coding RNA. NCBI's taxonomy places the organism in Eukaryota, Viridiplantae, Streptophyta, Magnoliopsida, Gentianales, Rubiaceae. The record is from RefSeq and is a predicted model, not a curated record.
CUUUUGGACACCAAAAUCUGACCUUUUAGCACACAAGUAAGGCACGCACGAGGACCUCCAAGAGGACCCUACCGUGGAAGUUUGAACUCUCAAUCCAACCUACUUGCUUGCAUAUCUUGGUUUGAACUCGGAGGUGAAAUGGAGAAACCCUCC